RNAcentral lists this ribosomal RNA (433 nucleotides) under uncultured bacterium. RNAcentral describes it as "partial 16S ribosomal RNA". It matches the Rfam family "Bacterial small subunit ribosomal RNA", at positions 29 to 507 of the family's 1533-position model. The record is from RNAcentral.
AACGAACGCUGGCGGCAUGCCUAACACAUGCAAGUCGAACGAGACCUUCGGGUCUAGUGGCGCACGGUUGCGUAACGCGUGGGAACCUGCCCUUAGGUUCGGAAUAACUCCCCGAAAGGGGUGCUAAUACCGGAUAAUGUCUUCGGACCAAAGAUUUAUCGCCUUUGGAUGGGCCUGCGUUGGAUUAGCUAGUUGGUAGGUUAAAAGCCUACCAAGGCGACGAUCCAUAGCUGGUCUGAGAGGAUGAUCAGCCGCACUGGGACUGAGACACGGCCCAGACUCCUACGGGAGGCAGCAGUGGGGAAUAUUGGACAAUGGGCGAAAGCCUGAUCCAGCAAUGCCGCGUGAGUGAUGAAGGCCUUAGGGUUGUAAAGCUCUUUUACCCGGGAUGAUAAUGACAGUACCGGGAGAAUAAGCUCCGGCUAACUCCGUG